RNA transcript from Glycine soja, 1406 nucleotides. It is a transcript of the gene named protein SCO1 homolog 1, mitochondrial-like, with no coding region annotated. The transcript has 8 exons. The record is from RefSeq and is a predicted model, not a curated record. Lineage: Eukaryota; Viridiplantae; Streptophyta; Magnoliopsida; Fabales; Fabaceae.
CCCUGGUCCUUUGUCUGCGAUGGUUUAAGGUUAAGGUUUUCACAUAAUUCCUCUAAUGGCGUACAUCGUAUCCAGCAAGGUUAACCAAUUUCGCUAUUCCACGCGCCUUCUCUUCUCACACCUUCUUCGCCAUGGCAGACCCUCCACGCUUUUACCACCCUUCUCUUCUCAUCUUCAACCACUCCAUCACCCUCACCAGGUUGGGAAUCAAGGUUAUGGAAAUGGGUCGUUGGGGUUGUGCCCAAGGCUUCUAUCUUCUUCUUCUUCUUCUGAUGCUUCUGCUGCUAAUGUUAGUGGAGAAAAACCAGCAUUGGAUUCAGAUCAAUCUGCAAAAGAUGGUUCUGGCAAAGAGAGAGAGUCUGGGAGUGGAGGAGGACAGGAUCAGAAAAGUGAUGCUGGGAAAUCUGUUCGUGGAGGGCCUGUUUCUUGGUUGAGCUUUCUCUUGUUGGUUCUCACUGGAGCUGGACUAGUGUUCUACUACGACAGGGAAAAGAAACGACAUAUCGAAGGGAUACGUACUAAUACGGAGGCUGUUAAGCAGGGACCUUCUGCAGGAAAAGCUGCAAUUGGGGGUCCAUUUUGCCUUAUCAACCAUCACGGAAAACAUGUAACUGAAAAGGAUUUCAUGGGAAAGUGGACUUUGUUAUAUUUUGGCUUUACUCACUGCCCGGAUAUCUGUCCAGAGGAACUACAGAAGUUAGCAGCUGCUGUUGAUAAAAUAAAGGAGAAAGCUGGAAUUGAAACUGUUCCGGUUUUUAUCUCUGUUGAUCCUGAGAGGGAUACUGUUGAACAAGUCGGUGAAUAUGUCAAAGAAUUUCAUCCGAAGUUAAUUGGAUUAACUGGUAGCCCCGAUGAGGUCAAGAAUGUUGCUCGUGCAUAUCGCGUUUAUUACAUGAAGACAGCAGAGGAAGACUCAGAUUAUCUUGUUGAUCACUCCAUUGUUAUAUGAUCUAAUCUUUGAAAUAUUUCAAUGGCAAGGAUGAGAGUAGAAAUAGUGGAGAUACUUGAUGAGUCCUGAGAUGGAAUUCGUAAAGUUUUUUGGCAAGAACAAUGAUGUUGACUCACUUGCUGAUGGUGUUAUUAAAGAGGUAACGCAGCAUAAGAAAUAACCUGCACAACCAGGCUAUUGAUACCCUCAUUUCUUUAUCGUGGAAACGAAAUUGUCAAUGAAUUUUGGCCUUGUGGUAGUAAACUACACCAGCAUGUCUGGUUUUACAAAGCAACUUAUUGGUGUCAUUGUUUCAAUGUUGUUGUUUAGCAUUGUGCUUGAAUUAUUUUUUUUGGUGAUAUGUUAUUGGUGUAUUUUGAGAUGCAACAACAUUACAAUUGUCAUGUUCAACAUGCCUUACAUCAGAGGUGGCAUCUAUAAUAAGAAAUACCAUGGUUUAUAUUGAUGAUAUAUUAAA